AUGGUUACCAUGAUGAAUUUGAGCAUCGACAGCAAGAGUGAAUCUAGCUGAGACUUUCUUCCUUCUCUGGGACUCAGUUUACCACGUGAGAAAUGGGCCAAAUCCUCAGUACCUUGCUGGCUGGAAGGUUCUCAGUUGUGCGUAAUCUCAGGUUAGUGGGCACCAAAAUUGUGCAAGGAGGGAACCCACCUCCUUGUCCUUCUUGUCCAGGGCCUCCUGGGCAUGGCUCUGGGCCUAGCUCACCCUCCCCGCCUCUGUAUGAAGCCUCUGGAGCUGCUGCUCUGUGGCCAGCUGGACCACGGGCUGCGUACCUCUCGCUCUUCAUAAACAAAAGCCUCAUGCUGCACCUGUGGUCUAAGUCAACGUGUUGGGCCAAUGUGUGACUCUCGGGACAUUUAGCCAAAGAGGGUUGGCUCCUUGGGCUCUUCCCACCCUUCCAUGCUGAGGUGAUACCAUUCCACCUCAAGGAACGUUCUGAUUCCCAACCGACAGCGGAACUGUUUGUCCCUGGACAGGUAGUUAGGCUUCUCUGUGCCCUGGCAAUCACCCUAGAAACUUACAGUUCCUUUUACUGCUCCUCACGGGGAAUGAAUGUCCAUGCAAUAUCAACUUUAAAAGCAGAAAUAAGAUUUGAACUCUGUCAAACUCUGUCAGCAACUUCCACCUUAAGUGAUCUCAUCCUGCCAAACUGAUUAUCAUCAUCUGAGCUGGCAGUCAAGUUGUCUACAGAUCCUCAUCUAAUAAGCUCAGAAGCAGAUGUACUUGCCGAUUGGUGCUGUCUGUAAGGUGGAGGGAAACAUCUUGAUGUUAAACUAAACGAGAAAUAAUUGAAAGGAUCACUGCGAUGACAGGAGAGGGAUUAUUAUUCUGAUGGAAUUAGAACUCCACGGUUGAGAGUCAUUCGUUCGUGCUAGUGCAGCAGAAGGAUAUAUUUCUUGGCUUAGAUGUCAAGCACAUCUAAGAGAUCUCAGCUGGGGCCUCUUCAAGGAUUCUGUGCUUGAAGACAACCAGAGUCAAGCAACAGAGGGUGGACUACCAGAGGUAGAGUGGAUGAGAGAGAUACACAAGCUUGUUCUCCAGAUAACUUCUAGACUUCAAUUCGUCAAUUGUCUUGCUAAAAACUGUGAUGAAAACUACAUAAAGCUGAUCUAAGAAAGGAAAGCCAGCCUGGAUGACCCAACUUCAGGUUUCGACAGUACUGGACUCUGAUUUCCUCUUUGGUUGGAUAGAUCUGGAGUGAGAGAAGCACCAUGUUGUCUGCAGGCCAGAAGAUGAUCAACACAGGGACUAAGGGCCAAACAUGUUCUUUGUCCCACUGAGAACAGAUUCCAAGCUCAAAGAGGAGGCUAAGAUUAAAUUUAAAUUAUAUUCAGCUUUGUAAUGCAUUAUUAAUUUUUAACUAUGUGAAACUUAGUUACAUUGUAUUGAAGGAAUCAAAUACUAGCAACUCCUUAUGUUCCAACCUACAAGUGGAUUGGAAUAAUCUAAUUGCCAAAAUAAAAUUAUUCUUGAUAAUGAGAGGAACAGAAAUAGCUGUGAUAAUCUACAUGAGAUUUCCUCCAUGGUUACAUAAGUAAGAACUGAUCUGAAGAACAGAGUUAGAGAUCAGUGGAUAAAGAAUGAAGCUGUAUAUACUACAGUGAGCUUACCAGGUCCUGUUUAUUAUAUGUAUGUAUGUAUGUAUGCAUGCAUGCAUGUAUGUAUGUAUGUAUGUAUAUAUGCUUAUAUAUAUUUACAUGAAAAGGAACUUAGUAUGUUCAUGAACCAAUAUAAUCUAUAAAUAGUAAUUCUUUAAUAUGUGGAUUUAUUUUGCAACAAUGAUUGUUAUGGCAGCACUAUUUUGGCUUAUAGGAAUAUAUACUGAAGCUAAAAAGACAGAUAGGAUCUUCUCUCUAUAAGGAGCAGGAUAGGAGAGUAAGAACGGCUUGAAAACAUUAAUUAAAAACACAAGAUUAACCCAAGAUAUAAUAGGAGCUAUUAUGCAAGUGGACAUCAUCCUUUGACUGGGGUAUCUGAGGUAAAAUGACAUUUGAAGUGACAUAGGAAGAAAAGAAGGAUUAUCUAUUGAAUGAACAAGAGGGAAAUUAUUCUGGGCAAAAAUAAUUGCAGAUGAUGCUUUAUCAGAAAAGGGUGAAGGACAGAAAGGAAGCCAGUUCAGUGAUGCUGUUCUAGGACUUCCAUUUGACCUUGACCUACUGGAAGUUUGAGCUAUGUUCACUUCAAAUCCGAUUCCCCAGUUCCCAGAUGAGCAGAGGAGUACAGUUCCGGGGCUUUAAAGAAAUCCCAUUUGUUCUGUUGCAGGGAAAUUUGCUAAGCCUUUAAUUCAACAGCAAAUUUUAAAUAAGUUUCAUAGUUAUACACAGAUUUUAGUCAGCAAGAAGGUACACAAAUUUGUAUAACCUAGCCUCUUAUUUAAAGGCCAGAUCCUUAUCAUAGGGUGUAACUACCUCUCUCUCUCUCUCUCUCUCUCUCUCUCUCUCUCUCUCUCUUUCUCUGUCUACUUGCAAAGAGAUACCACACAUCCAUGUUUGUCCCUGCAGCAUUCAUAAUAACCAUAGUAUAGAAACAGCCUAGGUGUUCAUUAACAGGUCAAUGAAUUAAAAUAUAGUACAUAUGCAAAAUGAAAUUUUGUUUAUCGAUAAAAAAUGAAAUUAUGCUACCAAUAGGUUAAUUAAUGGACUUGGAGAUUAUUACAUUAAAAAAUAAAUUAUUCAGAAAGACAAAUAUGGCAUUUUCUCUCAUAUGCAUAAUAUAUUUCACACAUAUAUAUUACAUGUAUAAUUUCUUAGUUUUACAUAUACAUGUGAUUAUGAGUACAUAUUUGUGUAUGCAUAUAUGCACAUUACAGAAAAAUGGGGACUACUUGGUAGAAGGAAGGGUAGCAGUGGAAGGGUAGGAUGGAGAUACAAGAGCAGGUAACAAAAUAAACAUUAGUAAAGUACAAAAGAUGCAUGUAUGAUGGUAUCGUAAUGAUAUCUUUGUUAACUUAAAAUUUACUAGAAAUAAGGACAAAAUGCACUAAAUUAUUUUGGACUUGAAGAUGUGACCUUCAAGUGAAAAUAAAGCCGGCAGCGAGAAGAUGAAGAAAGAUAAGGGGGCAUUGUCAGGAAAUGAGGGACUCACAGGAUGAUUAGUGGUCACUUUUCACUGUCCACGUUAAUUUGGGUCUUUCCUUUUUAUCACUGACAGUUGCUUCUACCUAUUUUCUGUCAAGGUAAUUAAUAUUGAAAAGGAAUAAGAUCUUGCUUUAUAUUAAAUAGCCAAAAAGAGAGAAUUUCAAACCGAGACUGGGAAAAAAAUUUACUAUAAUGCGUACUUCUAUGGUACAAGGAAAAAAGUUUAUGGGGAAAAUACAGUAAUGUGCAAUCUAAACUUUAUACUUCUACUGUUCUAUAGCAUUAAAUAAUCCUCCAGAAAAUGCACAUAUACAAUGUCAGUAGUCAAUGUGUGGUCCAGUAUGGGAUAGCAACUGCCCACCAGAGGAUGGUGCCUUAUCUCAGGCUGCUGCAUCUGGGACUUUUCGAUCGCAACAUAUGCUUUCUGUGAUGUCCAUGAUUUGGGACAUUUGUAUUGGGAAGUGACACACGUCACUUCUGUUUAGGGUUCACUGUGCAAAUUAAGCCCUGUUGGUCAGUCACAACAUAAAGGUAGUAGACAAAGGCAAUUUUCCUUGUAUGCUGCAAAGUAGACACAAGCUGGAAACUGAUAAAUAUAAGUGUCUGGUGUAGUAACCUCACAGGGAUGCUGCCUGACAUGCCUGGACACCUUAAUCUUUGUGAUCUCCUUGAGCAUUUACUUCUGAAAUGUUUAUUGGGACCUGUGUACCGGAGCGGCUUGAAACCAACAUUAUGACCCUUAAAGUAUAAGGACUAAUAAACAAGGAAUAUCAUUUGUACAUCCAUCUGUGUAUCUAACUUGAGCUUCUCAACUGUGGAUUUCUGGGUCUGACCCACAGAAACUUGAGAUUCUGUGUACCAGGAUGCAGGUUUAUGAGGUCAUGUUUCUAUGAAGCUUCUUGUGGCUAGCCAAGUUUGCAAGCAUAUUUAGGAACUACCACAAUGCAGAGUAUUGAGUGUCAGUUCUUUUACAUAUAAGGAGUGUAGGCACUUGUUCCAUGUGCCAUUUCCUGGGGAUAUAUAAACCCCAGAUAGGAAACUAAUGACAGGCCAAAGUAAAUGCCACUAAAGUCCAUCUUUUCAAACCAACGGAUCUACUGUGGCUACUUAAAGAAUUAUGAAUGAAGGGUUACGUAAAGAAGCAUGGAUGUUCCAAAAGUGGCAUCAUCAAUACUGCAAUGCCUUCCCUAGCACAUGUGACAAAUAAUGAAAGAUACAUCCCUGGAGCUCCCUAAAAGAUUUGCAGGCAACAUGACUCUUCAGAAUUUUCCUCUGGCCAGCAUUAUUUUAUUACUUACAGAACCCCGGGGAGACACCUUGUGAUUCA
This 4443-nucleotide small RNA is filed under the name Rattus norvegicus (Norway rat). RNAcentral's name for it is "uncharacterized LOC102554654". Lineage: Eukaryota; Metazoa; Chordata; Mammalia; Rodentia; Muridae. The record is from RNAcentral.